This 25-nucleotide non-coding RNA is filed under the name Mus musculus (house mouse). The record is from RNAcentral. Lineage: Eukaryota; Metazoa; Chordata; Mammalia; Rodentia; Muridae.
GNGGACAGUUAGCCAUCAAGGUGUU